AAACAAAACAAAAGUUCAAGGCAGCAGAUGAGGAAAUUCACACUUCGAGAGCUGUUUUUAUUCAAUUUUUUCGAUUUUUAUUACUUUUUCUCCGGUAAAAUUGUAAAAAUUCGCCAGCUGAAGCUUUGAGUUAUCGGAUAUUACGGCUAUCAAAAAAGCUCAUUGCAGGGAUGCAGACUUUACGAAUGGUGAAUCGCGGGAUUGGUCGUAUAUUCGAUUGGAGGCAGCAGAAAGCAGAAAUGUUUGUAUUUCUGAUUCCUUCAAGGCUAAUAAUGCGUGCAAAUCCAUGCUUCCGGAAAUGAGGGAAAUAACAACCGACAGAAACAUACAUGUACGAAAAAGUUUCAGGUUCAAUUAGUGUACUAGUGCUGCGACCAAUUUAUCAAACCCUGUGCCAAUAAGUGCAAACCUGAGAAAGUUGCUAUUAAAAUCUGUCAUGAACACAAGUUUCCAUAUUAUGUAGAA
This is a long non-coding RNA of Armigeres subalbatus, 465 nucleotides long. RefSeq lists it as uncharacterized. The record is from RefSeq and is a predicted model, not a curated record. The transcript has 2 exons. NCBI's taxonomy places the organism in Eukaryota, Metazoa, Arthropoda, Insecta, Diptera, Culicidae.